This 83-nucleotide transfer RNA is filed under the name Felis catus (domestic cat). RNAcentral also lists the same sequence under 2 other names. Lineage: Eukaryota; Metazoa; Chordata; Mammalia; Carnivora; Felidae. The record is from Rfam by way of RNAcentral.
GCUCAGUAGGUUAAGCACCCAACUCUUGAUUUCGGCUCAAGUCAUGAUCUCCCAGUUUGUGGGUUCAAGCCCCGCACUGGGCU